Molecule: non-coding RNA, 500 nt
Organism: Dermacentor albipictus
Lineage: Eukaryota; Metazoa; Arthropoda; Arachnida; Ixodida; Ixodidae
Source: RefSeq, a predicted model, not a curated record
AUAAAAAAAUGGUGGGCCAGCCCAGGCUGCUGUGACGCAGGCAGUGCGUCUGAGCGAGUACCGUUUUAGGUUUCCAUGACGUAGAGCACCUAUCGACCCUUAUUGAUGUAUAAAUAUUGUGAUGUAUAAAUUCAGCGACUUGGUGACGAAGACACGCUGGCAAUGCGUCCUACGUAGCUUUCGCCGCUAAUGCUACUGUGCACAAGACGAUGGAACUACUGUACAAGGCCUACUGUACUGGCAGCCCCACCUGGCGCCACGCUGGUGGACUAGUGGACAUAGCCUAAGGGCGCAUGGACUAGAAAAUUUAGGUAAACAAAUAUGGUGGUCCACUGCAUCGAUUUUCGAGGAGCAAUAACUCUUUGAAACAACAGCUCGCGUCGACAGUGCACGUAUAAAAUGCCUCGAAUAUUCCAUUUCUAGUCGUUGAACGGUAAUCUUUAAAGAAAGAGUAAAUGAAAGAAAUAUAGUGAUAAUAAAGUCAUUGAUGUUAAAUGUAA